GAAAAACUUAAAAGUUAACAACUAACAAUAACAGAUAAUUUAAAUAAGCAUUUGAGAUGCCGCUCGGCAUAUACAAUAAUCACUCUCGAAUUGUACACAAUUCUCCCAAGACCCGAAAACCGUAAGUCACAAGCUUCUAAGAUCUCUGUCAAUUGUUCUAUACAUCUGUACUAGAAUAAAUUAAAGGGAAGCAACAUCAGAAGGGGUAGAAGGAGACUCCGAGGUAUGUGGACGCGACAGAUGUACUUUGAAGUCUCCGGAAUGGCAGCAACUGUGCAGCUAAAAAUGAGGCUGGUAGGAGGUACCUGGAUCUGCACACGAAAAACAUGUGCAGAAAAUGACAUGAGUACACCACAACGGUAUCGAGUAAGUGUCAAGCCUAACAUCGGUCGAAUAGUAACGAUGUCUGGUCAGGGCCCUACUGGUAUAUACAUAUAUAUAUACAUAUAUAUAUAUAUAUAUAUAUAUAUAUAUAUAAAAUAAAAACAAGACAUAAUGAAAUAUCGCAGUAAAAUAAAGACCAAAAUUUAACAAGAAUGAAAUCAUAGAGAGGUAACGGCUCAGUACACAGAUAUAACAAUAGGGGAUCUCCCGAGAUACUGUCUCGUAGUCCCAAACGUAAAUGUACAUGGGGAUCUCCCGGAAUACCGUUCCGCAAAGUAAAUAUGUAAGGGGGUCUCCCGGAAUACCGUUCCGUAGUCCCAAAGUAUAUAUGCAGCUCAAACAACGGAAAAUAACAGUUACAGCAAGAAAGCCUACAGUUUAAACUAAGUUCAAGCCAAGGAAAGCAGGAAAUUCACUAAACAUGCUGCACAGGGUUCAGAUAAACAAUUAAGACAAGUAGACAUGUUAUUCUAAGCUAACAGGAUACUACAAAUGCUGGUAUAACUCAAAUAAAAAGGAAAAUAGGUUAUUACUUAGUAGAAAUUGGUUUUUAAAAAAUAAGAGAGAGGAGAAAAGAGGAAAAAAGAAAAAAGACGAAAAAUAAAAAAGAGAAAGAUGAUGGGUUAAAAAAGAGACGACUUGUUUUUUUUCUCUCCAAAAUACGCCUAAAAAAGAUACAAAUAAAUACGGAAGAAAUAGUAGAUAAGAAAAUAAGAAAGAAUGACGAAUGAAUGGGAAAAAGAAACGAUAGUGAUAUUAACAAAUUUAAGUUACAAUGGUUUAUUAUUCUGUCUUUCUAGAUUUAUUAUCAAACUCUCUAAGCGACUCAAGUGUUGCCAGAUCAAUCUUUUUCACUAUUUGGAUUUAGAUAUUUGUCACCUUCAGAAUGGUUUGCUCAUUUUUAUUUGCUUUUGUCAUCUUCAAUAUCUAUCAUUAAUCUACUUGUGGACAAAACUAAUGAUUCCUUUUUGAAUGAUCUUUUCCAGAUUCCCUCUCAUUCAGAAACGAAUACUCUUUGAAUUUAGAUUUCUAUUAAUGCAGUUUAAGUUUCUUGACAAUUUAAUUAUUGAGUGCAAUCAUUGUACAAAUAAAAUAUCUUCUAUAGUGAUGAGAAGCAAGGUUGAAAACGUUACCUCUACAUAGUCAAGGAUUUUAGGAUUUGUAUGUAUCUUUCAAAGUUCAACCAACACUUCCUCGCAAAAUUACAAAUUUGCUUCUUAUAUUGUGAGCUUAUGUUCUAAAGUUGAGUCAUGUUUCGCUUACUUGCAAAAGCAUAAUUUUCCCGUCUCCUCUUGAUUACAGAGCACACUUUGCUUAAACACUAGAUAGAUAUAGCCCGUGCUUGCACGAGCCCAACAUUCAUAUUUUUAAGCAAUUAGCUUUUUGGUGUUUUGUAUAUGAUAAAAUCUUGACGGUAUUAUAAUUGCUGAAAAAGUACAAUUGAAUCAAGACACAAAAUCUUUGUAUUACAAAUAAUUUAUCUUAUAAUCAACAGAGAAUAUCGACCAAGGUAAUGGGUCUAGAAUUAGAAAAAGAGAAAAAAAAAUAAAGGUAUUGUGUGCGGCAGCGUAGUCAUUAAUGAAGUCUUGACAAACUAAUGAUGUGGCAUGCAUAGCUAAACCCAUAAUUCAUCAGUGUCUGCUAACAUUUGUUAUUGAUGCUAUAUAAAAAUGGAAAGAGGUUGUUUCAGUAUCUUGUUAAAAAUGGAAAGGUAUUUGUUAGUGAGUGAGAGACAAAUAUAGAAGGCUUUUAGGUUGAAAUGCAUCAAACUACAAAUUCAGCCAAAGAAGACACAGAAAAAUAGUGCUACACGAAACAACUAAUAGAGGAACUUAUUGAUUCUAUGUCAUAUAAGUAGAGGAGUUUGAAUCUCAAUAUGUGUUAGUGUUAUCAUAGUAUGACUUUAGCCCAAAAGGCAUACAGUAUUGGAUGUUAAACUCUUCCAUCACUAUAAGCAGGUCUAUAGGACAGAAAAGUCUUGUCUAAGGCAGAACAUCCUUGAAAAGUAUAUUACCUUGGCAAUAACAGCUUUUUCCUUCAAACGACCAAGCAGAAUCCCAAUAUUCUAGUUUUCCUUUUAACUGCAAUAUGCUAGCAAUAUAUAUCAUUUAACACAAUACAAUACAUAUGAAUAAUAAUAGCAGAAUAAAAUAGUCUGCACAAUUGAAAAGCUAACCAAAGUCUGUUAUGUAAUUCUAGAUCCUCCAAUGUGACUAACUAUAUAUAGAGAAAAUAUUUAUCCAUGGACAAAAGCAUAAAGAAAACAUAUUAAGAUUUAUAAAUGACAUGCUUCAGUAUUAGAACCAAAGUUUUUCAUUAUGUAUAAAUACACAAAUUCAAAGAUUCAUUUUUCUGGCACUUAACUUUACAAGCUUUCAAGAAAAGAAACAAAAUAAUUGCAACAUCAAUCUGGCAUCUCUGGGAAGUCAAAUGCUUGAUCUAGAGACUUUAUUUUUUUUUAAUUUCUAUAUUUUUUGUGGGUAAGUUGUUUAUCUUGCACUAAAUAACAACAAAUAGAAUUAAAGUAUUGCAAAAAUAAGAAAGAAUUUAUAACAGAUAACCAGGCAAUGCCUGCCAAGUACCAGUUCCAACUCAUAUUAAGGACAACUUUCAAAAGAUACUUCAUUGCUGAAGCCUAAUUAACAUUGCCUUAAAAAGAAGCCAAGACCCGAUAACUAAUGUCAGGGUAAAAAUUAUUUUCAUCCAGGUUAGUCAUACAUAAAAAGCUAUCUAUUUGUAUCAGCCUUGUUCAUCGUCCAGAAGGAAAGCUCCAUGAGGGCCUACCUUUACUGAUGCAGUUAUUAGUUCGGGGUCAUGCAUCGAAAGCUACAUAGUCUAAAGAAAACAAAUCAUAAUUUGAGGGAUACUAAUUGGCCGUAUAAACAUCAAGAAAAGCGCCAAUUAGCAUUAGAACCAUUAAUUAACAAAAUCUCCAGCACAAUUAUUGAAAUCUCCAUUUCAAACUUUUAGCCUUUAGUAAUGCCAUGUUGCAUAUGAACAUUUCAAAUUUAACACCUUAUGGUAAAGUUUCUUACUGAGAUUUUUUCUGGUUGAUUUUUUAAGUGCAGUUUCUCAAGUUAAUAAUAUACGCAAAUCAUUGUAUGUCAAGAAAGAGUAGACAAUCUUGUUAAUAUGUGAUUAAAGGGAACAAAUACCCAUAACCUAUACAAAAGUCAAAUAUAGUCUUUUAAACGAAACCCAAAAAAGGAGCACCCAGUACAAAUACAUACCUAAAAUGCCAAAUUCAGCUCUCAAGUAAACAACACAGCUCUUGUAUUUAAGACAUAUUAUCAAACACCUUGGUUGCAUGAGAAAUCUUGUUUGUUUCUUCAACAUUUUUGUCCUAGAUGGAAAUUAAUUAUGCCCAAAUCGUGUUUAAACCUAUGCAGAAAAUUUUCCAACAAAGAAGUGCAAUUCAGACGUACAAAAUGGAAGAAAUUAUCGCAGAGAGUAGUGAAUAAGAGAUACCCACCAAAUACCCAUUACCAAUACAUGGUUGCAAUAAACAAAGAAAGACUGAAGAAAAAUUCUGCAAAACUCCAAACGAAAUAUAGCAAACACUGAAGGAAAUUAGAGAAAUUUGAAAGGAAAAUCAAAAAAUUAGGCUAGAAAAUGUAACAAAAGAAACAGAGUAUACGGAAUGCAAAUCUGGGAUGUGAAAGUGGAAUGCACAUAUAUUCGAAAGGCAACUAAUUAAUUAGGAUCAAAUUCAGAAGUAGACCCAAAUUCCAUCAGUAUGGCCUUGAAACUUAGGAAAGAAGAGAUAGAAAAACAGAAGGAAAGAGCUAAGAGAAACAUACACGAAAAUCUCAGUAAUAUUUACUUUUGGGCUUGGUUGCUGUCGCCGGCGAGUAGGAGUACGUGUUUUAUGGCAGAUGAAGCUAAAAGGACUAUGAAAGAGAUUGAAAAGAUGAGAAAAUCGAAAAGGCAAAUAAUAAAUUGUAUUUUAAGUAGAGGAUGUGCUGAGAAAUAAUCAUACUUAAUUCAUCUUAUAAUUGUCCUCCACCUCAUCCUUUCAAAUUAUGUGAUAAACUUUUAAGGUGAAGGACACCCUCAUUAGCAAAUCUCCCAACACAUUGCUGUGCAUUUUGUUUAUCUUUCAGAUAUGUUUAAAUAAGUUUAAAACAAAUUCAUUCUGCGAGAUUGUACUACUAAAUUUAAUAAAAGAUUGAGGUUAACAUCAUAUUCAUAUUGUAUACAUCUUUCGUUUUGGUUCAAGACAACCACAAAAGCACAAAUAUUUAUGUUCUAGUGUGUGGAUUGAAUUUUCUUCAUUUCUGAAACAUCUAUGUUUCUUUCAUUCCAAACACCUAAAAAAUGCAGGCUAAAAUUGUAUUCUCACGUCCCUGAAAUAUUCUUUACUUUUCUUGCCCAUCCAACUUAUGAUAACUUCCUCUAGAAUACCGGGCAUCAGCCUUUUGAGUUAAAUAAUCCUAGAAACAUGCACUAUAGUUGAGAAGCAAAGGUAAAUACACCAUUUGCUCGAUAAAAUCUAAUUCACUGAACGAUGGCUUCAGCUUCCUCUAGGCACAUGCAGCAACUUAAGCAUACAUUUAACCAACAUGUUUGCUUGAGUUGGUCAAUGCAGUGCACUCCAAUAAAUUAAUGUUGAAGAUGUUUUCUCUUUCAAAUCAGCCUUCAAUUUCAAGUUUCAAGUGUGCUACUACUUUCUGAUAAAUACAAAAAAAAAAAAACCAUUACAAUACAUAUAAAUCAAGAUUUAAGAUGUAGCCUACGCUCUUGUUUAGUAUCCGAAGUUAUUUUUUUUAAAAAUAUUGAUAAGAAACAAAGUGAAUUAGAUUAUCAGUAUAAUAACUUUUAGCUAGUUCAAGUGAUAUAUGCAGAUACCUAAAACUCAAAUGAAUUUAGUAAUUCAACAACUCCAUAAAACAAAAGAUGCUCUACAGUAAAUAACAGAAAGUUGAGAGGAGAUAAUGUGAAAACAAUAAUGUAUGAGCUUAAACUGGUUGUAGUUCAUCUUUCUCUUCAAAGGCCCUUCUCAUCUUUAUACUCUAAUGCUUAGCUCAAGAAGAAGAUAAAAGAAGGAAUCUAUGUCCGCUCAUAUGCUAAACAUAGAGCGACUUAAUAAUACUAUACUUUGAUCAGACUAACCUAAAGCAGUGAAUAUCUCCAUUGCUAAUAUUAAGGACCAGGAGACCAACAAAAAGUAGUCUACUACUAAUACAACAAAUCAAGAAUAAAAGACAAUAGUAUAGAUAAACACUUUCAUCAUCCUCACAAUUGCCAAGUGUAAUCUCUAAAUAAUAGAUGGAUCCACUAAUCCGUGUUUAUCAAGCUAAAUUCACACAAAAUACUACAAAGGCUCAUUAAUCUCAAAGUUUUCUAAUAAAAUUACCAAACGUUUCGAAUUUUAGACAUUUCUGCUAGCCAUCAUUGAAAAGGUUUACGCUAGAACUUUAAACUAAUGGCCAAUUAUCAAACCAUAUAAAAAAAAUAGAGAAUAAAUGUGGUGAACAUAUUAAAACCAACGUGAAUUUCUCUUUAUCUCCUUUUUUUAGCAAUAUGUUUCUGGCUCCAUUGCAAAGUUAAUAGGAAGUUUCUCAAUGUAUUUUGUAUUGCAUGUAGGCCUUGUACUUUGAAGCAUGAAUUAUAGCUCAACUUCUCUAAUUAAUAAUAUGUUUGAAUGUGGUAUAGCAUCUCUAAGUACCAAAUCAGUUGAACAUCUCUACGUACCAAAUGAGUUGUUGCUGAAAAAAUGACCGGCCUUUUCAAUUUUGAUGAUACUAAAUGAGUUGUCACUGGAAAAAUAAUCAUCUUUUUAAAACUUAAACAAAGCACCCAUAACAAUUUCUUAAGGACUCCUGUUUGCAUGGUGGUGCGAUUUUAUCUUAAAUAGCAGUAUACUGAUGUACGUAUGCAUUUAUCUUUAUUACAAUGAGCUUUCAUAUAUAUCAUUAUCAGUAAUAUAAGCUCUUAACCAUGGCAGCAUCACUAAACUUUGAACAAUAGAAGAAUAUUUCAAGGUGCAUACCUGUCCAUCAGAAGACAACAGUCUAUCCUUGCAUGUUUGGUAGUUGCCUAGCAAAUAAUUCUUCGCUCAUGUUAAUCAGAAGACAACAGUCUAUCUUCACAUGUUUGGCAGUUUCCUUGCAAAUAAUUUGUCGCUCAAAUUUUCCUGGAUUUAGUAUUUAGUACUUGUCGCUCGGUAAAACAACUAAGACUACACAAAUAUUAUAUGUCUAUCAGAAAAAACUAUAUAUCAAUACCAAACCAUAUGCUUAUAAAUACAAUCAUUUUAAACACAGACAAAUUUGAGUCCCCUUGAUUCGUCUUGUAAAUUAUUGAACUUUAAAUUGAUACUAAAGGAAAAGACACAAAGUUGAUGAAAAGAAAUUGCUGAAAAUCUCACCAUUAGCUAUAAAACCGGAUAAUGAAAUAAAUUCCUCAUUGAAGGUUUCAGAACCUUUAUUUCCUACUCAUACUGGCAAAGUGAAUACACAGCUACACACAACUAAAGAGAUAAGUCCACCCUUAUCCCCAAAAGUAAGUAAGUAAGAAAAAAAAAAGAAUCAGUUGAGCAGCUCUGGAUGGGUCCAUUAAUCUAAAUGAGUUUAAAAAAUAUCUACCUUAAUAAUGCUAGUUGAACUCAGUAAGGCUGAUGAUAAUCACAGGAAUAUGAAACUCUUCUGCUUUAAUCAUUUUCUAUAAUGAUUUUUUAUUUUGGUCAUAUAAUCAAACAUGUGAUGGACUCUGUCUAAUUGGCCGAUUUUUGAAUUAGUAUGGUUUCUCCCCUAACUUCAUCUCUAUUUUCAGACUUAUACAGCAAAGGGGUUGGUCUAAACAUAGUGUACACAAGCUGAUUAGCCAAAUCUCCAGAAAAUUUGACACCACCACAAAAAUCAAAUGAGAAAACUUAGUAGAGUAUACUAUUUAUCAUAGCUUCAAUAAAUUCACAUAGUACUACCACUUCAAGAGUAGCUUCUAGGCAUUUUAAGGUGAACUUAUAGCACCAUGUUUAUCUACUUGUCAUUGUAGUUAUUCAAAUCUGCAACAGUCCGUCAAAGAAAAAAUACCGAAUCAAAUACUUAUUCACCAAUCAGAGGAAAAGGGUAAUUAUGAACAACGUUCAAUGAUGGAGAGAAAUUACAAAAGAGAUGCUAAAACUCCAGAAGGGUAAUUACACAGAAGUUUUUUCCAAUUUCACGCGGCACUACCCCUCCCUCAAAAGCGAAGUUGUUCGGUUUGAAGGGGUAACCCACUGCUCAUUCAUGAAAAGACCCAAUUGCUUUGAAUAUUGACCUACCUCUUAGUUUUUUUUCCUCGUAAAUUUUUCACGCCAUUCGUCUUAUGAAACAGAGAGUUAGCUAAAUACUUAUACAGAUAAAGAGGGGGGAAAAUACAGAUAGAAAGGAAAAAGAAAGAAGGAAAAAAAGAACUGGAGAGCCACUGCGUGAGUGCGUGAGCAGAUGCAAACAACUUCUUUUAGGAU
Molecule: long non-coding RNA, 7834 nt
Filed under: Nicotiana tabacum (common tobacco)
Lineage: Eukaryota; Viridiplantae; Streptophyta; Magnoliopsida; Solanales; Solanaceae
Description: long non-coding RNA (NTAB_LNC006207)
Source: RNAcentral